GCGGGCGUGGCGAAACUGGUAGACGCACGGCACUCAAAAUGCCGCGACCUCGGUCAUGUCGGUUCGAUUCCGACCGCCCGCA
Molecule: non-coding RNA, 82 nt
Organism: Phenylobacterium sp. SCN 70-31
Lineage: Bacteria; Pseudomonadati; Pseudomonadota; Alphaproteobacteria; Caulobacterales; Caulobacteraceae
Source: Rfam